AGGACGAACGCUGGCGGCGUGCUUAACACAUGCAAGUCGAGCGGAAAGGCCCUUCGGGGUACUCGAGCGGCGAACGGGUGAGUAACACGUGAGUAAUCUGCCCCUAGCUCCUGGGAUAGCUCCGGGAAACCCGGGAUUAAUACCAGAUACGACCACUUUAGACAUCUCUUGUGGUGGAAAGAAUUUCGGCUAGGGAUGAACUCGCGGCCUAUCAGCUUGUUGGUGAGGUAACGGCUCACCAAGGCGACGACGGGUA
RNAcentral lists this ribosomal RNA (256 nucleotides) under uncultured bacterium. RNAcentral describes it as "partial small subunit ribosomal RNA". It matches the Rfam family "Bacterial small subunit ribosomal RNA", at positions 26 to 285 of the family's 1533-position model. The record is from RNAcentral.